CCCUUCACAAGUAAACCUAAACCCUCAUCUAUUCACAGAUAACGGGACCCGCAAGCUUACACAGUCGGCACUCUGCCCACCUCCCGGCGAGGCUCCACCGGAUUCCCUCUCACUGUCAUCGCCAUCCUUUACUCUCCUUCAGCCUCUCUCUGAGUCUUGCUUCUGCACGGUCGCAUCUGCACAGAAUCUAUCGGCCCUUAAGCUCGCCCUUGCUCCUCAAUCCCGUCGCCUGCCGCUCAAUCUCGCCGCUGCUCCUUCACGCGUUGCCGCUUCUAACAGUAAAAUUUUUAUCGGCAUAGGAGAUCAAAAUAUGGAGGAAGACGAUGACUAUGAGGAAUAUGUUCCGGUGGCGAAACGCCGAGCGAUAGAAGCGCAAAAGAUACUUCAAAGAAAGGGAAAGUUAUCUGCUUUAGAAGAUGAACUUGAGAAAUCCAAACUUGCUGAAGCCAAACCGAGUCUACUCGUCAAGGCUUCCCAGCUUAAGCGUGAUCAACCUGAAAUUAGUCAUACUGAGCAGAUUGUGCAACAAGAGAAAGAGAUGAUAGAGCAUUUAUCAGAUAGGAAAACUUUAAUGUCCGUUCGCGAAUUGGCUAAGGGAAUCACGUAUACUGAGCCCUUAUUGACUGGAUGGAAGCCCCCGCUUCAGAUUAGAAGAAUGCCCAGAAAUCAGUGUGAUGCGAUUAGGAAACAGUGGCACAUUAUAGUUGAUGGGGAAGACAUCCCUCCACCGAUAAAGAAUUUUAAAGAUAUGAGGUUUCCGGAACCAAUUCUGAAGAAGUUAAAAGCUAAAGGCAUUGUGCAGCCUACUCCUAUCCAGGUGCAGGGUCUUCCUGUGAUCUUAUCUGGAAGGGAUAUGAUUGGGAUUGCUUUUACCGGCUCUGGGAAGACCCUUGUUUUUGUGCUUCCCAUGAUUAUGAUUGCUUUACAGGAGGAGAUUAUGAUGCCCAUCGCCCCAGGAGAAGGACCCUUUGGUUUGAUCAUUUGUCCAUCAAGAGAGCUUGCUAGACAAACUUAUGAAGUGGUGGAACAGUUUUUAAUUCCAAUGAGAGAGGCUGGGUGUCCAGAGUUGAGGCCGUUACUGUGUAUUGGUGGAGUGGAUAUGAGGUCACAGUUGGAGGUUGUGAAGAAAGGCGUGCACAUUGUUGUUGCAACCCCUGGGAGGUUGAAAGACAUGCUAGCAAAGAAGAAAAUGAAUUUGGAUAACUGCAGGUAUUUGACAUUGGAUGAGGCUGAUAGAUUGGUAGAUUUGGGCUUUGAGGAUGACAUAAGGGAAGUCUUUGACCACUUUAAAGCCCAAAGGCAAACUCUUCUAUUCUCUGCCACCAUGCCAACAAAAAUUCAGAACUUUGCCCGGAGUGCUCUGGUAAAGCCUGUUACUGUUAAUGUUGGAAGAGCGGGAGCAGCAAACCUUGAUGUGAUCCAGGAGGUUGAGUAUGUAAAACAGGAGGCAAAGAUUGUUUACCUUCUUGAGUGCUUACAGAAAACACCGCCUCCUGUUUUAAUAUUUUGUGAGAACAAGGCUGAUGUGGAUGACAUUCAUGAAUAUCUCCUCCUUAAGGGUGUUGAGGCUGUUGCUAUUCAUGGAGGCAAAGACCAAGAAGAAAGAGAAUAUGCAAUUUCAUCCUUCAAAGCAGGCAAGAAAGAUGUCUUGGUUGCAACUGAUGUUGCCUCAAAGGGUUUGGAUUUUCCAGAUAUCCAACAUGUAAUAAACUAUGAUAUGCCUGCAGAAAUUGAAAAUUAUGUUCAUAGGAUUGGACGAACAGGAAGGUGUGGUAAGACUGGAAUUGCAACAACGUUUAUAAACAAAAACCAGAGUGAGACAACAUUGCUCGACUUGAAGCACCUAUUGCAAGAAGCAAAACAGAGGAUCCCUCCUGUUCUGGCAGAGUUGAAUGAUCCAAUGGAAGAUGGUGACACAAUUACUAGUGCAAGUGGAGUUAAGGGCUGUGCUUACUGUGGUGGGCUAGGUCACCGUAUUCGAGAUUGUCCCAAGUUGGAGCAUCAGAGAUCUCAGCAACUUGCUAACUCGAGAAGGGAUUAUUUUGGUUCUGGGGGGUAUAGGGGGGAAAUCUGAUGUAUAUACACUUCUUCAGUUGAUUGUGCAAGUUUUUACCUUUGUUAUGUUUUUUGACGCUAUUAAGUACUACCGAAUGGGAAUGCUUAUCAAGUUUUAUGUAUUGCAAUACAUGAAUGUAACAUAGGAUGAAUGUUAUUGGAGAUGAGUUUGCUAACAUUUUUAGAACCUCACUUGCAUCUAUCCAUGGAGUCAUU
RNAcentral lists this unclassified non-coding RNA (2271 nucleotides) under Hevea brasiliensis (rubber tree). The record is from RNAcentral. Lineage: Eukaryota; Viridiplantae; Streptophyta; Magnoliopsida; Malpighiales; Euphorbiaceae.